This 417-nucleotide ribosomal RNA is filed under the name Pelomedusa subrufa. RNAcentral's name for it is "partial 16S ribosomal RNA". The stretch from base 89 to 417 matches the Rfam family "Bacterial large subunit ribosomal RNA", at positions 2076 to 2570 of the family's 2925-position model. The record is from RNAcentral. Lineage: Eukaryota; Metazoa; Chordata; Testudines; Pelomedusidae.
UUUACUCCGAGGYCACCCCAACCAAAAGUAAUAGCAAGGUAAUACYGUGYCUUUAYUUCCYUYCSMGGYAUAUGUUGAAAUAUAUGKUUWAGACGAGAAGACCCUGUGGAACUUCAAGUAUUAACCAAUAUAUUUCAACAUAUACCUCGAAAGGAAAUAAAGACACAGUAUUACCUGGCUAUUACUUUUGGUDGGGGDGACCUCGGAGUAAAACAAAACCUCCGAAAAGAGUAUAUUCUCAUACCUAGAAUUACACCUCAAAGUGCCCUAAAGCAAAGAGAUCCAAUAUAUUUGAUCAACGAACAAAGCUACCCCAGGGAUAACAGCGCAAUCCCCUCUUAAAGUCCUUAUUGAUGAUGGGGGUUUACGACCUCGAUGUUGGAUCAGGACAUCCUAAUGGUGCAGCCGCUAUWAAGG